GGAUGUGAGGGUGAUCUGGUUGUGGCAAUUGAUCACCAGGACUGAUUUGGCUGAUCUGGCUGGCUGGUCGGGGCGGGGUGGUGGUCCCCUUCCUCCCUCAUCACUCCGUGUGUGUCCUGCCCAAAGCUGUGUGCUGGGUUGAAAAGGACAACCACCCCCGAUAGAGGAGGACCAUUUUCUCUGUCAAGGGUGCAGUAUAUGAGCAGCUGCACUCCCCUCCAACAGGCUCUCAAGGUCCAAAAAUUUGGGUUAGAUCUCUGUUCAGCUUUGCAUGUAGGCAUGUUCAUCACUUAAGGGGUGUCUAUAACACAAGUUUGUUAUUCUAU
This 326-nucleotide small nuclear RNA is filed under the name Heterocephalus glaber (naked mole-rat). RNAcentral's name for it is "7SK RNA". It matches the Rfam family "7SK RNA". Rfam says of the family: 7SK was discovered as an abundant small nuclear RNA in the mid-70s but a possible function has only recently been suggested. Lineage: Eukaryota; Metazoa; Chordata; Mammalia; Rodentia; Bathyergidae. The record is from Rfam by way of RNAcentral.